GAUUCUCCGAAGAUCUGUGUGUGUGUGUGGUGUUUGUCUUACCUCUCUCAGCGAUUCUCCGAAAUCUGUGUGUGUGUGUGUGUGUGUGUGUGUGUGUGUGGUGUGGUGUCUUACCUCUCUCCAGCGAUUCUCCGAAGAUCCGUGUGUGUGUGUGUGUGUGUGUUGUCUUACCUCUCUCCAGCGAUUCUCCGAAGAUCCGUGUGUUGUGUGUGUGUGUGUGUGUGUCUUACUCUCUCCAGCGAUUCUCCGAAGAUCUGUUGUGUGUGUGUCUCUUACCUCUCUCCAGCGAUUCUCCGAAGAUCCGUGUGUGUGUGUGUGUGUCUUACCUCUCUCCAGCGAUUCUCCGAAGAUCCGUGUGUGUGUGUGUGUGUUGUCUUACCUCUCUCCAGCGAUUCUCCGAAGAUCUGUGUGUGUGUGUGUGUCUCUUACCUCUCUCCAGCGAUUCUCCGAAGAUCCGUGUGUGUGUGGUGUGUGUGUCUUACCUCUCUCCAGCGAUUCUCCGAAGAUCCGUGUGUGUGUGUGUGUCUUACCUCUCUCCAGCGAUUCUCCGAAGAUCCGUGUGUGUGUGUGUGUGUGUGUCUUACCUCUCUCCAGCGAUUCUCCGAAGAUCUGUGUGUGUGUGUGUGUGUGUGUCUUACCUCUCUCCAGCGAUUCUCCGAAGAUCAGUGUGUGUGUGUGUGUGUCUUACCUCUCUCCAGCGAUUCUCCGAAGAUCCGUGUGUGUGUGUGUGUGUGUGUCUUACCUCUCUCCAGCGAUUCUCCGAAGAUCUGUGUUGUGUGUGUGUCUUACCUCUCUCCAGCGAUUCUCCGAAGAUCUGUGUGUGUGUGUGUGUGUCUUACCUCUCUCCAGCGAUUCUCCGAAGAUCCGUGUGUGUGUGUGUGUGUGUGUGUGUGUCUUACCUCUCUCCAGCGAUUCUCCGAAGGUGUGUGUGUGUGUGUGUGUGUCUUACCUCUCUCCAGCGAUUCUCCGAAGAGAUCUGUGUGUGUGUGUGUGUGUCUUACCUCUCUCCAGCGAUUCUCCGAAGAUCCGUGUGUGUGUGUUGUGUGUGUCUUACCUCUCUCCAGCGAUUCUCCGAAGGUGUGUGUGUGUGUGUCUUACCUCUCUCCAGCGAUUCUCCGAAGAUCCGGUGUGUGUGUGUGUGUGUGUGUCUUACCUCUCUCCAGCGAUUCUCCGAAGAUCUGUGUGUGUGUGUGUGUGUGUGUGUGUCUUACCUCUCUCCAGCGAUUCUCCGAAGAUCCGUGUGUGUGUGU
RNAcentral lists this long non-coding RNA (1250 nucleotides) under Carassius auratus (goldfish). RNAcentral's name for it is "lncRNA (ENSCARG00000038458.1)". Lineage: Eukaryota; Metazoa; Chordata; Actinopteri; Cypriniformes; Cyprinidae. The record is from RNAcentral.